RNAcentral lists this transfer RNA (77 nucleotides) under Candidatus Binatota bacterium. RNAcentral describes it as "tRNA-Met". It matches the Rfam family "tRNA". Rfam says of the family: Transfer RNA (tRNA) molecules are approximately 80 nucleotides in length. Their secondary structure includes four short double-helical elements and three loops (D, anti-codon, and T loops). Lineage: Bacteria; Candidatus Binatota. The record is from RNAcentral. RNAcentral also lists the same sequence under 1 other name.
GGCGGUGUAGCUCAGAUGGUCAGAGCACGCGGCUCAUAUCCGCGGCGUCGACAGUUCGACUCUGUCCACCGCCACCA